RNAcentral lists this ribosomal RNA (206 nucleotides) under uncultured bacterium. RNAcentral's name for it is "partial 16S ribosomal RNA". It matches the Rfam family "Bacterial small subunit ribosomal RNA", at positions 524 to 729 of the family's 1533-position model. The record is from RNAcentral.
UACGGGGGGGGCAAGCGUUGUUCGGAAUUACUGGGCGUAAAGGGCUCGUAGGCGGCCAACUAAGUCGGAUGUGAAAUCCCCAGGCUCAACCUGGGAACUGCAUCCGAUACUGGAUGGCUUGAAUCCGGGAGAGGGAUGCAGAAUUCCAGGUGUAGCGGUGAAAUGCGUAGAUAUCUGGAGGAAUACCGGUGGCGAAGGCGCAAUCC